GGUCUCAUGGUGUAGCGGUAACACAUCUUCAGUUGAUAAUGGGCGCAGCUGUAUUUGAGGAAGUCCCUUGUUCGAACCAAGGUGAGGCCA
Mycena leptocephala is the source of this 90-nucleotide non-coding RNA. Lineage: Eukaryota; Fungi; Basidiomycota; Agaricomycetes; Agaricales; Mycenaceae. The record is from the annotation of a GenBank genome assembly.